Molecule: RNA transcript, 3009 nt
Organism: Crotalus tigris (Tiger rattlesnake)
Lineage: Eukaryota; Metazoa; Chordata; Lepidosauria; Squamata; Viperidae
Gene name: 3-beta-hydroxysteroid-Delta(8),Delta(7)-isomerase-like
Exons: 3
Source: RefSeq, a predicted model, not a curated record
CCAACCCCCUGCUCAGGCAGGAAACCCUAUACCAUUUCUGUAAGGUGACUUUGUUCCCAGCCUCUCUAACCCUCUUAGCCUGCAAUUUCGUGCCCCUCGUCCACAUUGCACUGCAGCCAGAGCGCUGUGAAAUAGAGGGACCCUUCCAGUCUCCAGCGCAUCACCUUUUGUUGGCAGGUAGUACAGCCCGAUCGGAAGCGCUCAGAAAACAUGCAAUACACUAACCCUCGAUCUGGAUAACUGCAGGUUUUUUAUCACACUUGUCGGAGACACAGAUGCUAAACAAUGGUUUAUUUAGACAGAAUGUAUACAUGUUGAAGAAAAUUUGUGCUUUAAAGCGUUGUGUGAAUGAAAGUGGAUGAUCAGUUGAUUGUGCGCCCAGCCAUGGUAGUUUAUGCAAUAAACCAUGGCUACUUGAACCCUGAGUUAUAAUUCCUUGAGUAGGUGGGCGAUUAUAUAGAUUUGUUAGAUAAGUAGUAAGUAAAUGAGACACAACUGACCAGAAAACCACGCCAGAAGGCAGUGAAGACUAUGUACGAGUCCACAUAGCCUCAGCCACGUUCCAUCAAUUGGUUUGCCAGAAUACUGUAUGAUGUCAGAGCCUACGUUCCCAUUAGCUGCGCGGGUACAGCAAAAAAACUCCUAUAAGAGCCCUGCGUUUGUCAUAGGAGAUGUUGAUUGGCUGGGUUACUUAUCUGUUGCCAUACCUACCGAUGGUGCUACUGGAUUUAUUGGGGGGGGGGUUUAGGGAACAGACGAGAAGCGUUUGGUGCAGAAGUUUUGCGAGCUAGGUUGAGUAAGGUUUGACAAUGGAAUGUGAAAAGGGACUACUUUAGAGCAACGCAUUUUCCCCUGUGGUUGCCUGGCUGCUCUCUGCAGCUGCACCAUGAUGCUGAGAAAAUGCAUUUGACAUAAAGCACUGCACAAAUAACAUAUGUGUGCCCUCCUGUGCUUUUGAAUCACCUCUGUUUUAUUGAAAAGUUUUACAGUCUGCCCUCCAGGCUGGCUGGAUGGAGAGCAUUAAAGAGAGCCCUGGGGGGAAAAACUCAUCUUGAAUUGAAAUAUGUAAGAGGAUACUAAUAUUUUGCAGAUGUAACCCUCUGUAUUUCCCUCAGUGGUUGGAAGAUGUUUGCCAUAUGGCUCAGCUCAUUUUGUAUCUGUAUUAUUACAUUUUUUAAAAUUCACCUCACUGUAUGUGUCAACUCAAGGCAGUGAACAUAUCUAAUACUCCAUCCUCCAUAUCUAAUACUCCACAAAAGAAUUAUGUGUGAAGUGGUUCAGCCUGACAGACUAACAGGCCUAAAGUCACUCACUGUCUCCUGCUUUCUAGACCAGCACUUUAACCAAUCUGUUCCCUAAUUAUUUCCUUUUUCUUCCCCAAACUCCUGAAUUAGCCUUCACAUAGAAUAUGGUCCAAUUAGAUAUAGCAUGUAUAUCAACAACAAGAUGUAACAGUAUCUGUUGUAGAUAAAACAAGUUUGAUUGAAGACAGGUUACUAUUUGUUGAGAUUAAUCCAUGGAGCAUCUUCAACCUACUGCUUUCCACAUAUGUGAGAGAAAACGAGAAAUGAAAUCCAGCAUACCUGAAAGUUUUCAAAGUGGACAAGUUGGUUUAUAUAUUUAUAUUAAUAUAUAUACCUAGAAAGCUGCAUUUUUUGCAGAAGUGAUAAUAGUAUGUCAGCUGAAAGAUCAUUACCCAUAACGGUUCCUGGGAAUUGGAGCCAGCAGUACAGAAUCUGCAGUAUCAAAUCACUUAAUCCUUAUAAAAGUCUAGGUAAAAAACAUAUAGCUAUAAUGCUAUGCUUUGAAAUUGUAACAAUAAGGCAAGCAGAAAUCAGAUUAGAAAAAUUAUGUUUUAUAUUAGUCACAAUAAUUCACUUUGCACAUCUGGCUUUGCCAUGGUUUGCUGAAUAAGCCAUAAUGAAUGGGGUACACAUACAACACACUAAAACCUUCAGAUUCGAUAACUACAUCUGAAUUUAAGAGUAUUUGAUUCCUUCUAGUAUUAUCAAAACUGUGAGAAGUGAAAAUGUAUGUUUCUUAAUAUUUGCAUUUGUUACCAAAAAGCAUGAUUUUAGCCUAAAGUAAGUCCUCAUGUAUUUAGAAAGUUUUAUUGGCGUGAUAGCAUUCAUGUGGUCUUUAUAAUCUCACAUUCAUUAUAUGUUGCCUUCUAGAAUAGGAAGUACUUGGAAAUUUCAGAACAGAUGUGUUUGGUUUAAGGAGUUGGAGACAGGUGUCACUUCUGCACCUCUGGAUGUUCCAAGCAUCUAUUUGCCUUUUAUCUAAAGUGGUGCACAAUCCUUUUAUAAUUAAUAUUUAAGAAAAAUACAGGGAAAUUCACAAACUCUCCCUACUGCGGUUCCCAUGAAUUUCUUUUUCUACUAAUUUUUCUUUAUAUCUUCCAGGGAAGGAAUAUGGCAAAGGUGACAGCAGAUAUAUGAUCCAUAAUAAUUGAGCUUGGGAAAAUAAAAUGGGCAAGGCUUGAAUGGAAAGAACUUGCACCAGUUCACUCUCCUCACUUGCAUCAAAUUCUGCAGUUUGGCUUGAGAUCAGAUAAUUUUAUAAUUUGCGUGGAAACUGUCACUCUCUGUGUUUUGACUCCCCUCUGUCUUUGGACUGCAGUCGCAUUUCUUUCACGCCAGUCCCAUCGAUACGUGCUGCAGCUAGUGGUGUCAGUAGGUAGGUAUGCAAGACAAGGAGGGAGGUAUGUCAGGAUAUAUAAAUGUUAAUGCAAUCUUUCAAAAGCAAUUAAAAAUUUUUAUUCUUGGUUAAUGUUCCAUACACCUGACUGCAUUUCUUUUUUGGCUUGUCCACUUUUGAUCUUUUCUUCCUACUUUAAACAGCCAUGUUGUGUAUCUCUAACCAUAGGUCAUAUAUAUGGUGACGUUCUCUACUUCUACACUGCAUACCGUGAUGGCUUUCACCAUAGUGAGAAGUGGCACCCUACCUACUUCUGGUUUUACUUUGUCUUUCUGAAUAGUCUCUGGAUUAUCAUUCCCUCUAUUCUCA